Molecule: ribosomal RNA, 789 nt
Filed under: uncultured bacterium
Lineage: Bacteria
Description: bacterial SSU rRNA
Rfam family: Bacterial small subunit ribosomal RNA
Source: RNAcentral
ACACGUGGGUAACCUGCCUUAAAGCUUGGGAUAACACUUGGAAACAGGUGCUAAUACCGCAUAACCAUCAAAACCACCUGGUUUUGAUGUUAAAGAUGGUUCUGCUAUCGCUUUAAGAUGGACCCGCGGCGUAUUAGCUAGUUGGUGAGGUAACGGCUUACCAAGGCAAUGAUACGUAGCCGAACUGAGAGGUUGAUCGGCCACAUUGGGACUGAGACACGGCCCAAACUCCUACGGGAGGCAGCAGUAGGGAAUCUUCCACAAUGGACGAAAGUCUGAUGGAGCAACGCCGCGUGAGUGAAGAAGGUUUUCGGAUCGUAAAACUCUGUUGUCAGAGAAGAACGUGUGUGAGAGUAACUGUUCACGCAGUGACGGUAUCUGACCAGAAAGUCACGGCUAACUACGUGCCAGCAGCCGCGGUAAUACGUAGGUGGCAAGCGUUGUCCGGAUUUAUUGGGCGUAAAGGGAACGCAGGCGGUCUUUUAAGUCUGAUGUGAAAGCCUUCGGCUUAACCGAAGUCGGGCAUUGGAAACUGGGAGACUUGAGUGCAGAAGAGGAGAGUGGAACUCCAUGUGUAGCGGUGAAAUGCGUAGAUAUAUGGAAGAACACCAGUGGCGAAAGCGGCUCUCUGGUCUGUAACUGACGCUGAGGUUCGAAAGCGUGGGUAGCAAACAGGAUUAGAUACCCUGGUAGUCCACGCCGUAAACGAUGAAUGCUAAGUGUUGGAGGGUUUCCGCCCUUCAGUGCCGCAGCUAACGCAUUAAGCAUUCCGCCUGGGGAGUACGAUCG